CCCUUAGAUGUUCUGGGCCGCACGCGCGCUACACUGACGGAGUCAACGAGUUGUCCUGCAUCGGAAGGUGUGGGUAAUCUUUUGAAACUUCGUCGUGCUGGGGAUAGAUCUUUGCAAUUUUCGAUCUUGAACGAGGAAUUCCUAGUAAGCGUGAUUCAUCAGAUCGCGUUGAUUACGUCCCUGUCCUUUGUACACACCGCCCGUCGCUACUACCGAUUGAAUGGUUUAGUGAGGCCUCGGGACUGGCGCGCUCGAGUAGCAAUACACCUGCGCGCCGGGAACUUGGUCAAACUUGAUCAUUUAGAGGAAGUAAAAGUCGUAACA
RNAcentral lists this ribosomal RNA (324 nucleotides) under uncultured eukaryote. RNAcentral's name for it is "partial 18S ribosomal RNA". It matches the Rfam family "Eukaryotic small subunit ribosomal RNA", at positions 1470 to 1796 of the family's 1831-position model. The record is from RNAcentral.